Molecule: ribosomal RNA, 478 nt
Filed under: uncultured bacterium
Lineage: Bacteria
Description: partial 16S ribosomal RNA
Rfam family: Bacterial small subunit ribosomal RNA
Source: RNAcentral
GACGAACGCUGGCGGCGUGCUUAACACAUGCAAGUCGAACGGUAAGGCCCUUCGGGGUACACGAGUGGCGAACGGGUGAGUAACACGUGGGUGAUCUGCCCUGCACUCCGGGAUAAGCCUGGGAAACUGGGUCUAAUACCGGAUAGGACCACUGCCUGCAUGGGUGGUGGUGGAAAGCUUUUGCGGUGUGGGAUGGGCCCGCGGCCUAUCAGCUUGUUGGUGGGGUGAUGGCCUACCAAGGCGACGACGGGUAGCCGGCCUGAGAGGGUGACCGGCCACACUGGGACUGAGAUACGGCCCAGACUCCUACGGGAGGCAGCAGUGGGGAAUAUUGCACAAUGGGCGCAAGCCUGAUGCAGCGACGCCGCGUGAGGGAUGACGGCCUUCGGGUUGUAGACCUCUUUCAGCACCGACGAAGCGCAAGUGACGGUAGGUGCAGAAGAAGGACCGGCCAACUACGUGCCAGCAGCCGCCGUAA